UCUCUCAAAAUAAAUAAAUGAACUUGACAAAAAUAAGAUUAAGGAUCCUGGAAUGGAGACAUCCGUUGUCCUGUACCAUCGAGGUGAGCCCAGCACAAUCACAAAGGUCCUUAAGCAGGGAGGCGGCGAGAGGUGACGUGACUACUGAGGCAGAGGUCAGCAUGGCUUCUAGAAGCUGGAAAAGGCAAAGAUACGAAUUCUUCCCUAAGGGCCUCCGGAGGGAGUGUGGCCCUGCCGGUACCCCGAAUUUGGCCAGUAAAACUCGGCUCAGAUGUCAGACCUCCAAAAUGGUAAGAGAAUAAAUUGGUGUUUUAAACCGCUAACGUUCUGGUAGAUUGUUAGGGCAACAUUAGGAAGCUACCACACGGUCUGGCUCACCUGCCCGUUCCCGGAUGCAGGGCUGCGGGAGGAAGGGGUAGGCAUGGAGUCCGGGAGAGGGUGGGUCCCCAAGAGCAAACGGGAGCACCUUUACCGGAAGAAAAGGAGGGACGGGAAGGGAGAAGACACAAAGACACCAAGUCGCUGCGGGAUUCCUUUUACGUGAAGUGCGGCGAAGGAAGGCAAACUGGCAGAGGGAGAGGCGGACAGCUGGGUUAGUUCAGGGGGAAGGGCAGAUACUGACCAGGGAGGGGAACCCGGGUGUCUCUGGAAAGCAGGGAACGUUCUGGCUGGAUCCGGCGUACCUUCGAAACUGCCCAUUUUACAGAUGAGGAAACAAAGGCCCGCGUGGUCGGGCGCAGAGCACGUGUUGAGCAGCUGAACCAGACCCAAGCCGGUCGGCCAGCGCUCUGCACCCCGCUGACCCCCUUGGGUGUCCUGCUGGCCGGGAGGAGCCCAGUGUCUCCUAGUGUCCUCUCUCUGAUGUCAGUUACUCCUCUGGGACUCCGGGGAUAGGGAGUGGGUCUCCUCUCCUUUCGUGGUGUUUCUAGGCUCCUGGAGCCCGCGGGGAGCGCCCUAAGCCUGGGUUCACCUCUCUGGAUCCUGGGACCCACCUGGGGUCUCACCGGGAAUUGCUCUGGAAUCACAAGACCUCCCGGGCGAGUGGACACCAUUCUCAGCAUGCCCUUUGCCACCCGUUCUCUUUCAUGCAUCCAACAAACAUUUCCCGAGGGCCCAUGAAGCCCAGAAAUUGAGGAUACAGUGGAGAACAAGCCCGUGAAGGCGCCCGGCCUCCGUGGAGCCUCUCCGCCUGACCAGACGGAAGCCUUUGGCCAUCUCCCUGAUACUUGCCCGAAGCAGUCUGGAAAGAACAGGGCAGAGAAGACGUGUAAACAGCAGCUCAGAGAGAUGGGAGCCCAGGCCAGGGUCACUGCAGCUGGAAGGCGGGCCUGGCACUCAACGCCCACCUGCCUUGGGAUAAAAUUACAGGCCAGAGUGGGGACACUGAGGCUCAGACUGGGGCCAUUACUUAUGCAAGGAGCUGAGAUUCGAACCCAGCUCAGCCCGACCGCAAGACAGGCCAGCCGGUUUCCAAAGACUUCGCACGAAGAAAAGCUUAUAAAGUAUCUCCAUUUUUAAUUAUUAAUUACAUAUUGAAAUGAUAUUGGAGAUGUUGGAUUAAAUAGAAAUAUGAAAUCUGAGUCAAGCUCUUUUCCUUCUUUUCAUUGUAUAAACAUGGUUACGGAGCAUUUUCCGUAUUAAAUUACGUGUGUGACUUGCGUGAUAGUUGUGCUAUCUGCACCCUGACUUUGUUUAAAAAAAAGUUUUUUUUAAUUUUGUUUUUAAUAUUUAUUUUUGAGAGAGA
This is a long non-coding RNA of Acinonyx jubatus (cheetah), 1744 nucleotides long. RefSeq lists it as uncharacterized. The record is from RefSeq and is a predicted model, not a curated record. NCBI's taxonomy places the organism in Eukaryota, Metazoa, Chordata, Mammalia, Carnivora, Felidae. The transcript has 3 exons.